Molecule: ribosomal RNA, 447 nt
Filed under: uncultured bacterium
Lineage: Bacteria
Description: bacterial SSU rRNA
Rfam family: Bacterial small subunit ribosomal RNA
Source: RNAcentral
UGGGGAAUUUUUCGCAAUGGGCGCAAGCCUGAUCCAGCCAUGCCGCGUGAGUGAUGAAGGCCCUAGGGUUGUAAAGCUCUUUUGUGCGGGAAGAUAAUGACGGUACCGCAAGAAUAAGCCCCGGCUAACUUCGUGCCAGCAGCCGCGGUAAUACGAAGGGGGCUAGCGUUGCUCGGAAUCACUGGGCGUAAAGGGUGCGUAGGCGGGUCUUUAAGUCAGGGGUGAAAUCCUGGAGCUCAACUCCAGAACUGCCUUUGAUACUGAAGAUCUUGAGUUCGGGAGAGGUGAGUGGAACUGCGAGUGUAGAGGUGAAAUUCGUAGAUAUUCGCAAGAACACCAGUGGCGAAGGCGGCUCACUGGCCCGAUACUGACGCUGAGGCACGAAAGCGUGGGGAGCAAACAGGAUUAGAUACCCCCGUAGUCCCUGAGCGGGCUGGCAAGGCGCAU